CUUAAACUCUCAUUCCAGGAAACAAAGUGGAUUGAUGGCCACCUCACACACACGAACACACACACACACAAAUGCACGCAUACACACACACAGCCGUUCCUCUUGUUUUUGGUUAAUUAGGUGGGAUUUAUCAAUGAAAAGAAGACACAAGCUGAGAUGAUCCUACCAAAGGCAGCCAGAUUCAUCAUUCUCCUCCUUCUGGCUGCAAACAUCUAUUGGGAGACUAAGGGUGACGCUCAACCUCCGGAAUUGUUUACACAAGAUGGAAAUUACAGACAUCAAUCCCAGAAACAUGUCAGGGAGAAAAGAAUUGCCACGAGUGAAACAAUAUCACUGGACAUUGUCCUCACGGUGGACACACCAACCAACAUGGAGCCAUCAGAGAUCAUUAAUCGGUUGAGGGACGCCGUGGCUAACGUCUCAUCGGCUUUAGAGAUAACUGAUGAUUUAACACUGUCAAGCUGGACCUUGU
Long non-coding RNA from Hippocampus zosterae (dwarf seahorse), 472 nucleotides. RefSeq lists it as uncharacterized. The record is from RefSeq and is a predicted model, not a curated record. The transcript is spliced from 4 exons. Lineage: Eukaryota; Metazoa; Chordata; Actinopteri; Syngnathiformes; Syngnathidae.